GUCUUCAGGUAUGCUCUUGUUUUUGUUUGCUUUUUGUGUUGUCAGUUAUGGUUUGUUUGUUUGGUUUUCAAACUCAAUGACUCUUCUUUUUUUGCCAGUGACUUUCACCAAUGAGAGAGGAAGACCUUAUGGUGUAGGAAGCCUCUCUCAGUCGCAUGUCAAUGGCAAAAGGAAGUACUCUGGAAGCACUUUUGCAUUCAACACUCUGCAAGAUCAGUUACAACAAGCUCAACAAAAGAUAGAAGAACAGGUGGCUGAGAAUGCAAGGCGUGAAGCAGAACUUACCAAGGUUGUAGCUGCCCAACAAGCCAAGAUCGAGCAAUUGACAUUGCUCGAAAGGUAUCUAAGUGAAACUGAUCCAAGGUUCUUGGACUUCAAGGCUGCUAACUCUGUUCCCACGUCUUCACCUCCAACCCCUGCUCCAAC
Molecule: long non-coding RNA, 426 nt
Filed under: Eutrema salsugineum
Lineage: Eukaryota; Viridiplantae; Streptophyta; Magnoliopsida; Brassicales; Brassicaceae
Description: long non-coding RNA (ESAL_LNC000897)
Source: RNAcentral